RNAcentral lists this ribosomal RNA (497 nucleotides) under uncultured bacterium. RNAcentral describes it as "partial 16S ribosomal RNA". It matches the Rfam family "Bacterial small subunit ribosomal RNA", at positions 28 to 507 of the family's 1533-position model. The record is from RNAcentral.
GAUGAACGCUGGCGGCGUGCCUAAUACAUGCAAGUCGAGCGAACAGAUAAGGAGCUUGCUCCUUUGACGUUAGCGGCGGACGGGUGAGUAACACGUGGGUAACCUACCUAUAAGACUGGAAUAACUCCGGGAAACCGGGGCUAAUGCCGGAUAACAUUUAGAACCGCAUGGUUCUAAAGUGAAAGAUGGUUUUGCUAUCACUUAUAGAUGGACCCGCGCCGUAUUAGCUAGUUGGUAAGGUAACGGCUUACCAAGGCAACGAUACGUAGCCGACCUGAGAGGGUGAUCGGCCACACUGGAACUGAGACACGGUCCAGACUCCUACGGGAGGCAGCAGUAGGGAAUCUUCCGCAAUGGGCGAAAGCCUGACGGAGCAACGCCGCGGGAGUGAUGAAGGUCUUCGGAUCGUAAAACUCUGUUAUUAGGGAAGAACAAAUGUGUAAGUAACUGUGCACGUCUUGACGGUACCUAAUCAGAAAGCCACGGCUAACUACGUG